RNAcentral lists this ribosomal RNA (400 nucleotides) under uncultured bacterium. Its description in RNAcentral is "bacterial SSU rRNA". It matches the Rfam family "Bacterial small subunit ribosomal RNA", at positions 355 to 771 of the family's 1533-position model. The record is from RNAcentral.
UGGGGAAUAUUGCACAAUGGGCGCAAGCCUGAUGCAGCAACGCCGCGUGAGUGAAGAAGGCCUUCGGGUCGUAAAACUCUGUCCUAGGGGAAGAACAAAUGACGGUACCCUGGGAGGAAGCCCCGGCUAACUACGUGCCAGCAGCCGCGGUAAUACGUAGGGGGCAAGCGUUAUCCGGAAUCACUGGGCGUAAAGGGUGCGUAGGUGGCUUGUCAAGUCAGAAGUGAAAGGCAACGGCUUAACCGUUGUAAGCUUUUGAAACUGAUAGGCUUGAGUGCAGGAGAGGUAAGUGGAAUUCCUAGUGUAGCGGUGAAAUGCGUAGAUAUUAGGAGGAACACCAGUGGCGAAGGCGACUUACUGGACUGUAACUGACACUGAGGCACGAAAGCGUGGGGAGCAA